GGGCUGUCGGGGGUUGCAGGGCCGCGCCGACUGCGCCUGCGCGAGCUUCCUCGUGCUGCGCCCAGGGUUCGGAAGGGGGCGCUACAGGGCGGCCAUGGAAGCCACGGCCAAUGGGCUGUGAGCUCAGGCCCCGGCGGUUCCUUGAAGACCAGGCGCCCGGCACUCGCCCGUCGCACGCCUUCCCGGGGUUACGACACCCCUCUAGGAGGCCCCGCCCCUCCCAGCGUCUCCGCCAAUGGGAGCGCGCUCCGAGGGAGUGGGCGGAGCCCGGGGUCCGGGCCGCACCUGGAGCGCGCCGCUCGUGAGUCUGUCCUCCCGGCCUCCCUGCCCACCCCCGUGCGGGGCCGCGUCGCUUUUCGACACAGCGCGAGCCCGGGAAGUCUGUCCGUCCUUGGUGGCAACCUGGAGAGACUAGGUCACCGUGACCGAAGAAGGAAACCGCGAGGCCUGCGAGACGGGAGGGCAAACUCCAAGUAUCAUCGACGCUGAGCAUCGAAGGAGUUUGGCCUCAUUGUCCCUGCAUGUCCCUGUCUGCGUUGAGGCAAUCCUGAGAGUGGAAGCACCCCGUUCAAGAUGACCGGCUUCUGAGCAUCGUGUUUUGUCUGAUAAAUUCCCCAGCUACGGAAACAGAAGUGUUCCGUCUGCACUCACUGUAAGUACAACCCAGGUCUCAGGUUGUAAGUACAACAGCAGGUCCUCAAACAACAUCAUUUCAUUCAGCUUCGUCUAGUUACAACGUGGAUGAGUGCGUAGGAGCUCGGCCCUGGUUCAUGUCCGUUAGCCUGUAGUAAAAUGGGCUUUGCUGUGCGUCGUCUCGCCACAGUUCCAAGAACUGAUCGACGACGCUAAGUGAGGACUGACUUCAUCAGUGCCCGGUCCUGUGACCCUGCGUCUGGCCCUCUGUUCUCAGGCCACUUCAUUUUGCUUUGAGGUGCUUCUCGUUUACCAAACUGUCCUCUUCCAGGACAGACGGUGCCCACGUGGACGGCCCCCUCCCUCACCUGCAGAGA
Long non-coding RNA from Myotis myotis, 1010 nucleotides. RefSeq lists it as uncharacterized. Lineage: Eukaryota; Metazoa; Chordata; Mammalia; Chiroptera; Vespertilionidae. The transcript is spliced from 3 exons. The record is from RefSeq and is a predicted model, not a curated record.